This 260-nucleotide long non-coding RNA is filed under the name Calidris pugnax (ruff). RNAcentral describes it as "lncRNA (ENSCPUG00000006731.1)". The record is from RNAcentral. Lineage: Eukaryota; Metazoa; Chordata; Aves; Charadriiformes; Scolopacidae.
UCUGGUGUUCAUGACAAAUACUGAAAAUUUAUGAGGAACCACCCUAGUAUAUCCAAGGCUGCUCUAGGCCUCAUGUAAACAUCCAGGAGUGCUUCCCAAGUACCAGGCAUCGCUUGGGUGAAACUGACCAUGAAGGAAAUUGCUGGAUUUCAAAGGGCUCUUUAUUCCCGUCAGGUGAUGAACAGAGGAUGAACAGCUUAUGGACCUUAGGUUAUGGGCAUAAUAAAUGUUCAAAACACUUCCAAAAUACAUGCAAAUGA